UACGGAGGGUGCAAGCGUUAAUCGGAAUGACUGGGCGUAAAGGGCGCGUAGGCGGCCGCCUUUGUCGGGCGUGAAAGUCCCGGGCUCAACCCGGGGACGGCGCACGGGACGGGGCGGCUCGAGUGGGGGAGAGGGUCGUGGAAUUCCCAGUGUAGAGGUGAAAUUCGUAGAUAUUGGGAAGAACACCGGUGGCGAAGGCGGCGACCUGGCCCUCGACUGACGCUGAGGCGCGAGAGCGUGGGGAGCAAACAGG
Molecule: ribosomal RNA, 253 nt
Filed under: uncultured bacterium
Lineage: Bacteria
Description: partial 16S ribosomal RNA
Rfam family: Bacterial small subunit ribosomal RNA
Source: RNAcentral